Molecule: long non-coding RNA, 250 nt
Filed under: Pelobates cultripes (western spadefoot toad)
Lineage: Eukaryota; Metazoa; Chordata; Amphibia; Anura; Pelobatidae
Source: RNAcentral
CGGACGAUAUUAUUGCUGCGAUACUUUUUACUGUUUUGAAACACAAAUAUUUGUGUUCAGCGAAGUCUCCCGAGUACAAUAGUACCCCUCAUGUACAGGGUUUAUGGUGUUUUCAAAAGUUACAGCGUCAAAUAUAAGGCUUGCGUUUCAUUUUUUUCACAUAAAAAUUCGCCAGAUUGGUUACGUUGCCUUUGAGACCCUAUGGUAGCCCAAGAAUGAAAAUUACCGCUAUGAUGGCAUACCAUUUGCA